GGGGCAAAGAGCAGGGAGAACCCUGCUCAGUUCUGUCUAGCCCGACUGGGACGUGGAAAGGCUAAUCCGAGCCCCACUUCUGCCACUCAGUUGCUGGGCCUCAGUUUCCCUGGCUGUACGGAGAAGGAGAAAACAAGAUGGAACCCAGUGACUGGCCACCAUGGACACAUGCAAGGGAGAAGGAGAAGUCCCCAGUAGGAAAAGGAAAGGCAUGCAGCAAGAAGCUCAAAAUCUACAAGCCAGGAAGAGAGCCCUCACCAGAAACGGAAACAGCUGGCACUUUGAUCUUGGACUUCCCAGGCCUCCAGAACGGUGAGAAAUAAGUGUCUGUUGUUUAAGCCUAUAGUCAGCCCAAGCUGACUAAGAAACAUGGCCGCCCAGAAUUAAGGCUUUAUUUUUCAGCAUCUUCUGCAGUGAACUGCAUCUUCUGUGGCCACAUGAAUAAGUUCAGGCUAAUAAGUUACAAGCAGAAUUAAAGUAUGGUAGCUUCUAGAAACCUUUCUUAGAGGACAGCUGGUAUAUGGCCUUUGCAUCCCUUCCUCCUUGUCACUCUUUCUAUCCUACUGCUUGGAAUGUGCUGUGGAGCUGGAGCUCUUGCUGCCUUCUUAGACUGUGAGGUAAUACGGACCACACUGUAGGGAUGAUUAAGAAGUAAGCUAGAAGGAGUUUGAGACCCUGAGGACUUGAAGGAAUAGAGCUCCUACCACAGUCCCAGAUUGCCUAUGCUUCAGUCUCUACACAGGACAGAGAAAUAAACUGCCAUCUGGUUUAAACAGUGCUUCUGUGAGACUCUAUUAUUUGCAGUUAAGCCUAAUCCUUGCUGAUAC
RNAcentral lists this long non-coding RNA (827 nucleotides) under Homo sapiens (human). Its description in RNAcentral is "HSALNT0148557". Lineage: Eukaryota; Metazoa; Chordata; Mammalia; Primates; Hominidae. The record is from RNAcentral.